CGAACGCUGGCGGCGUGCUUACCACAUGCACGUCGAACGGAAAGGCCCUGCUUUUGUGGGGUGCUCGAGUGGCGAACGGGUGAGUAACACGUGAGUAACCUGCCCUUGACUUUGGGAUAACUUCAGGAAACUGGGGCUAAUACCGGAUAGGAGCUCCUGCUGCAUGGUGGGGGUUGGAAAGUUUCGGCGGUUGGGGAUGGACUCGCGGCUUAUCAGCUUGUUGGUGGGGUAGUGGCUUACCAAGGCUUUGACGGGUAGCCGGCCUGAGAGGGUGACCGGCCACAUUGGGACUGAGAUACGGCCCAGACUCCUACGGGAGGCAGCAGUGGGGAAUAUUGCACAAUGGGCUGAAGCCUGAUGCAGCAACGCCGCGUGCGGGAUGACGGCCUUCGGGUUGUAAACCGCUUUCGCCUGUGACGAAGCGUGAGUGACGGUAAUGGGUAAAGAAGCACCGGCUAACUACGUG
Molecule: ribosomal RNA, 466 nt
Filed under: uncultured bacterium
Lineage: Bacteria
Description: partial 16S ribosomal RNA
Rfam family: Bacterial small subunit ribosomal RNA
Source: RNAcentral